RNAcentral lists this ribosomal RNA (1056 nucleotides) under uncultured Chryseobacterium sp. RNAcentral's name for it is "bacterial SSU rRNA". It matches the Rfam family "Bacterial small subunit ribosomal RNA", at positions 336 to 1397 of the family's 1533-position model. The record is from RNAcentral. Lineage: Bacteria; Pseudomonadati; Bacteroidota; Flavobacteriia; Flavobacteriales; Weeksellaceae.
CUCCUACGGGAGGCAGCAGUGAGGAAUAUUGGACAAUGGGUGAGAGCCUGAUCCAGCCAUCCCGCGUGAAGGACGACGGCCCUAUGGGUUGUAAACUUCUUUUGUAUAGGGAUAAACCUACUCUCGUGAGAGUAGCUGAAGGUACUAUACGAAUAAGCGCCGGCUAACUCCGUGCCAGCAGCCGCGGUAAUACGGAGGGUGCAAGCGUUAUCCGGAUUUAUUGGGUUUAAAGGGUCCGUAGGCGGAUCUGUAAGUCAGUGGUGAAAUCUCACAGCUUAACUGUGAAACUGCCAUUGAUACUGCAGGUCUUGAGUGUUGUUGAAGUAGCUGGAAUAAGUAGUGUAGCGGUGAAAUGCAUAGAUAUUACUUAGAACACCAAUUGCGAAGGCAGGUUACUAAGCAACAACUGACGCUGAUGGACGAAAGCGUGGGGAGCGAACAGGAUUAGAUACCCUGGUAGUCCACGCCGUAAACGAUGCUAACUCGUUUUUGGGACGCAAGUUUCAGAGACUAAGCGAAAGUGAUAAGUUAGCCACCUGGGGAGUACGUUCGCAAGAAUGAAACUCAAAGGAAUUGACGGGGGCCCGCACAAGCGGUGGAUUAUGUGGUUUAAUUCGAUGAUACGCGAGGAACCUUACCAAGGCUUAAAUGGGAAAUGACAGGUUUAGAAAUAGACUUUUCUUCGGACAUUUUUCAAGGUGCUGCAUGGUUGUCGUCAUCUCGUGCCGUGAGGUGUUAGGUUAAGUCCUGCAACGAGCGCAACCCCUGUCACUAGUUGCCAUCAUUAAGUUGGGGACUCUAGUGAGACUGCCUACGCAAGUAGAGAGGAAGGUGGGGAUGACGUCAAAUCAUCACGGCCCUUACGCCUUGGGCCACACACGUAGUACAAUGGCCGGUACAGAGGGCAGCUACACAGCGAUGUGAUGCAAAUCUCGAAAGCCGGUCUCAGUUCGGAUUGGAGUCUGCAACUCGACUCUAUGAAGCUGGAAUCGCUAGUAAUCGCGCAUCAGCCAUGGCGCGGUGAAUACGUUCCCGGGCCUUGUACACACCGCCCGU